UUCCCUCGACUGCCUCCUCCUCGCCCGCUCGCUCCCUCGCUCAACCAGCGCCGCUUCCGCCGCCGCCGCCACUGCGCUGCUCGGGGCCGCGCCGCUCCCUUCCCAGCGCCGCGGCAGCUGCAGCGGAUCUCUCCGCCGCGCCUGGCCUGGCCUGGCCUGGCCUGGCCUGGGCGGCGGCGGGCACAGCUGAGGCUCCGCGGCGUGGCUGUCUCGCCCCUUCCCCACCCCUUCGGCUGCCGGCCGAGUUUCUCUUUCUUUUUUUGCCCGUUCUGGUGCGCGGAACGAGACCGGACUUUACGCUUAGGCCUGCGCUGAGAGGAAGGCAGCCAACGAUUUGUGAAGAAGUGACCGUUGAAAAACCCACACGUUUGGGGUUUUAUUUUUGUCUUCCCUAAGGAUGGUGGGGAGGGGGACUGCAAGAUGCCGCCUCGCAGGAGGCAGACCUAAAAAGGCGCCUUAAAAUGAACCCAGAGAGGCGGUAGUCCCUGUGUGCCCCCCCCCCGCCCCAGCGGGUGAGGUGUGUGAGACCCGGGACCCUGGCUGGAGUUACCGCUCAUGUCCGUCUCUGUGGGUGUAACGAGGCCGUGUCGCAGGAACUGAAACGCCCGAUGCGGAAAGCGUUGCCGGGGCGAGGGAUUUCCAGGUGGACAUACCGAGCUGGAGUGGCUUUUAAAAACAACCUUUUUUGGACGAGCACAGGGGAGAAUGCUGGUGUUCAGGUAAAACUGUGAAUAAUCAUAGCGCAGGAUAAUAGUGAAGAAGCAUUUCUACCCGAUGAAUUAACUAUGUCUUUUCAUACUCACAUCGUUUUGCUCCUUGGUACUUGGACAAAAAUCCCUUGAUUUCUAGUCGGAGCCGUGCUUGUCUGUCGACUUCAGGAUUCAGCCAUACAGUUGGACACAGCUGUAAAUGCCCUGUGACAUAAAAAUACACCCCGUCAGCUCUGGAUGGAUAUUGUUUGCACAAAGGGAUAAUAUCUUACACCAAUGCACUUCAAUCUUCCCAAGUCUUAGGAUUUCCUGAAUGGUGCUCUGUCUUUAAUACAGAUUUAAAAUGCCUCUCUCAAGCUUAAACAACUAUCACAUUCGUAAUGUUGGAUGAAUCAAAGUUCAUUAUACAAGUGUAUGUGUUUUUGUUUGAAAGUGCAGAAAUGAAGAUGGCACUGGAGAAUACGGUAAUUCAGUACUGGAAAUACUAGUAUCUAAUGGGUACAUGCUCAUGUAAGUUUAAUGGAGACAGAGUAAACCGGGCUCUGAAAAAAUGUAUUCUAUACCUUUGUUCCAAGUUAAUAUAAAAGGUCCCAAUCCUAUAAUUGUUUAUGCAUUAACAACUUCCAAGUUAUCCAUUUGAAAUAAAGGGAAAUCAUUGGUGUAGUAAA
Molecule: long non-coding RNA, 1378 nt
Organism: Harpia harpyja (harpy eagle)
Lineage: Eukaryota; Metazoa; Chordata; Aves; Accipitriformes; Accipitridae
Exons: 2
Source: RefSeq, a predicted model, not a curated record